Long non-coding RNA from Triticum urartu, 2336 nucleotides. RefSeq lists it as uncharacterized. NCBI's taxonomy places the organism in Eukaryota, Viridiplantae, Streptophyta, Magnoliopsida, Poales, Poaceae. The record is from RefSeq and is a predicted model, not a curated record.
UGGUUGGGCCUUCUCUUCUUCCUAAGAACACAGCAGCGCGAACCCCAAUCCCCAACGCGUAGCCGCCAGCUCCAGCUUGCCGACGGUGGCGGCGGGCCAGAUCCGGUGCCUAGCUGGGCGAUUGCGCCCGGUGGAGGUCCAGAUCCAUCCAUGACCGUCUUCUCGCCGGCUUUCUGGCUGCCCCGGCGGACCCCCUCUGUCCGAAGCUGAGACCUUGUGCGGGCAAGUUCUCCAAGGUACUCUGCUGCGACCUCCAUAGAAAACUCUCAUUCCAUUAUUUCUCCUACCCCAAUGAGCCCAUUCUUCACACCUUGCCUGCAUCUAAUUCCUCCAUCUGGGAACAUCGUAGAAGAAAUCUCCAGUCUUCAUGUAUGCUUGUCUGAAAGGUUGAUACUAAUUUUCAUACUUGAUUCUGUAGCAUUUAUUUAGGAAAUCACUUUUGUUCAACUUCUACUGCAAACUGUGCAUGUCAUCUACUCCUCACAAACAAGAACAUAAUAUUAUGGACAAAAUUUUACACUGUAAAGAGACUUGUGCUUGGAGUUCAGACUGAAAGUGCCAAGUAUUCUGCAAAUAUUAUGUACCAAAUUUCAGACUUGUGCUUGGACAGUCUGAAAGUACUCUACGGAGUAAAAUUUCAUACUUCCAGACUUGUGCUUUGACGGUCUGGAAGUACUUCUGCUUGUACCAAACUUCAUACUUUCAGACUGACAGUCUGAAAGAUAACAUUCGCAAAGAUGACAAUCUAAAAUUAUUUGUUCUUGUACCAAAAUUCAAACUUUCAGACUUGUGCUUGGACAGCCUGAAAGUGCCAAAUUUUAGACUAACUUGGACAGUGUGAAAGCCUGAAAGUGCCGAAUACUUGUGCUUCGACAUGUCAUCUACGACAUACAUAUUAUUAGUACUUCAAACUUCUUUGGCGUAAAGAGUACACGCAGUACAUAAUAUUAUUUAGAAAUCAUUUUGGUUCAACUCUUACUACAAACUUCAAGCACAAUGCUGUAGCAUAUCAACUUUAUUUAGGAGGACAUGAUAUUUUGACAUAGAUAUCUGAAAGUAAUCUUGCUUUAAAAUAGUGCUUCGAGCAUAUGUUGUAUCCUCUAUGAUAAGAUUAAAAAAUUCUGGAUCUUUGGAAAUGAUAUGAACAGCAAGCAUAUGAACAUUCUGGAUCAUGUUUGUGAGUGAUCAAUACAAAAAGAUUAGAGAUGUGUCUUAUGACACAAUAUCCAUGACCUCUAAAUGUUCUUGCAAGCUUUUUGAGUCCAAUGGAAUCGUGUGCCGCCAUAUUAUCCGAGUGUUGAGGGGUGCGAAAAUAAAUGAAUUGCCAAGAAUUUAUGUUCUUAAGCGGUGGGAGAGAAAUUGCAAAAGGGACAUUAUCUUCGACGGGGAAGGGAACAUGCUUGAAGAGAAUUUAAUUGGCCCAGUUGGCAUGGCUAUGAAAAAGGAAGAUAGCUCUCGUUAGGAACAAGCUAGAAGAUCUCAUUCCGAAGUAUAAAGGUUCAAUGGAAGGAAUUGAAUUCCUGCACACUAGUUUGUGCAACGCUCAGAUGGCUUUAGCCCAUCUCGUACCGGCUGUAGCAUGCAACACACACGAAAAUGAGGAGUCAUUUAUCGGGAGCAUCAUUCGAAAGCACGUUACCAUCCACACACCUACUGAUAUCAAUGCAAGGGGCACUUGCUCUAGAAUAAAGGGACACAGGGAUGCUGUGAGGAGUGGGUCGAGUGAGAAGAAAAGAAGGCCUGGAAUCCAUCAAAAAGUCGCACGCAAAUGUAGCAUUUGUAAGGAAGUGGUGUUCCAUGAUGCAAGGACAUGCUCUAAGAAACAAAUGACACAGCAAUAGAGAGGUAGAUGAAAGUUAUGUGAGAGCAUAUCAUCAUGUGAAACAAAUUGCGCAACUGAAGAAUCUUCAUCUUUUCAAAAGAAAAAUAACCAUUUUGUGGUUCACUGGUUAUAGGUCUGACUUCUCCCAGCACAAGAAGAUUGAUAAGCAAGAGGCACUAGUACUGGAGGCAAAAGGCAAUAACUUUUCUGUUGUGUACCAAACAGAGCAAACUUGAUGCAAAUUCCGACGGCAAGCUUGUUCAGCAGACAGCGGUGCUUACUUUAGUCCUGCAUACUUUGUGUUGUCUGUGAUGUACCAAAAAUGGUCCUCUCAUGUUAUGUACUCCCUCUGAAGUUAGUACAAAGUUGGGUCAUCUAUUUUGGAACGGAGGGAGUAACACUUUAUAUGUAUGUGUGUCGUCUCUAUUCUGUUCUGUUCUAUCUGGGAUCGUGCAAUUUAAAAUGUAUGUGUAGUUAUGGUUUAAAGUGGAUGGACUAAUUUUCUCAUGUCUCA